Long non-coding RNA from Bos taurus (domestic cattle), 867 nucleotides. The record is from Ensembl. Lineage: Eukaryota; Metazoa; Chordata; Mammalia; Artiodactyla; Bovidae.
UGGUACUCUUCGCUGCUGCCCCUGACCUCGGACGUGGGGUAACUCCUCUUGGCCGCCGCCCUUCGGGCAUGGGGUCCUCCCAGCUUCCAUCCCUGACCUCGGACGUGGGGUGGCUCCUCUCGGCUGCGCUUAGCGCGCCGGUCGCAGCCGCCUGCGCUUAGCGGUAUUUUGUUACAGCAGCUCAAAUAAAUGAAGACACAAGGGAAAAUCAGCAUGACAUCUCAGCUCAAUCAAAAUACCGAAAUUUCCAAGAAGUCUUCUCAGGUGGCCAAAUUGGGAAUCACCUUUAACAACAGCCUGCAGUGGCAGAGCUCACAUGUGAGGCAGCUAACUGUCCUGCUACCAGAAGACGAUGAUUCUACAUGUGAGCUCAUCAGCUUAUUGCAAGAUAUCCACAUCAUCGUCUCUGACAUCACCAUCGUCCUCGUGGUCACCAUCAACAUCAUGGAAAACCAGCGUAGGGUACUUCAAAACCACAUGCUUUGGAACUACACAGAUCUGAUUUCGAAUUCUUCCCUCUCCAGUGUGUUACCGUGGGUGCUUCACUAGCAUGUUUGUAUGUCAGUUUCUGCACUGAUUUAAGUGAAAGUGAUUAUGAUACCCACAUAGGCGUCUUCAGGAGAAGCUAGGGUAAAGUAUUGUUGGGGUGCAGCCUGUAAGCCCUAGUAGUUGCCCAGCCUUAAGGCAAAGAAAGGGUCUAGAGACAGAGACAUCCAUGGCUUAUUGGAUGAGACCUUACAUAUAUGAAGCAGGUUCCUGGAGCAACACCCUAUCAAGUGCAGCAGACGGCAGGCAGGACAUGGCAGCAAUCUUUGUCACUUCGGGGAGGAGGCUACCAUUUAUAGGGGGAAUUGAUAUCAGGUUGGC